RNAcentral lists this transfer RNA (69 nucleotides) under Marmota monax (woodchuck). RNAcentral describes it as "tRNA.Thr". Lineage: Eukaryota; Metazoa; Chordata; Mammalia; Rodentia; Sciuridae. The record is from RNAcentral.
GGAGUUAUGGCUCAGAUGUAGAGCACUCACCUAGUAUGUGUGAGGCACUGGGUUCGAUCCUCAGCACCA